GUCUUUAUGGAUUUUUAUAAGGUUGAGCCUGCCCAAUGAUGUUUUAAAUGGCUGCGGUAUAUUGACCGUGCAAAGGUAGCAUAAUCAUUAGUCUUUUAAUUAGAGACUGGAAUGAAUGGUUUGACGAAAUAUAUACUGUCUAUUUAUAAAAUAUUGAAUUUUAUUUUUUAGUUAAAAAGCUAAAAUAUUAAUAAAAGACGAGAAGACCCUAUAGAGUUUAUAUUAUUAAUAAUUUAAAGUAUUAGAUUUGUAUUAUAUAUUAAGUUGUUAAUUAUAUUUUAUUGGGGUGAUAAGAGAAAAUGAGGGAACUUCUAUUUUUGGGUUACUUGGAUAGUAGGAAUAUAUUUAUGAUCUUGUAUUAUGGAUUGAAAGAAUAAAUUACCUUAGGGAUAACAGCGUAAUUUUGUUUGAGAGUUCAUAUCGAUGAUAAAGUUUGCGACCUCGAUGUUGGAUUAAGAUAACUAUUAGGUGUAGAAGUUUAAUAAGUAAGUCUGUUCGACUUUUUAAUUCUUACA
This 515-nucleotide ribosomal RNA is filed under the name Ornebius wandella. Its description in RNAcentral is "partial small subunit ribosomal RNA". It matches the Rfam family "Bacterial large subunit ribosomal RNA", at positions 1829 to 2600 of the family's 2925-position model. The record is from RNAcentral. Lineage: Eukaryota; Metazoa; Arthropoda; Insecta; Orthoptera; Mogoplistidae.